GAUAAACGCUGGCGGCGUGCUUAACACAUGCAAGUCGAACGAAGUUUUUCCUUCGGGAGAAACUUAGUGGCGGACGGGUGAGUAACGCGUGGGUAACCUGCCCUGUACAGGGGGGCAACAGCUGUAAACGGCUGCUAAUACCGCAUAAGCCCUUAGCACUGCAUGGUGCAUAGGGAAAAGGAGCAAUCCGGUACAGGAUGGACCCGCGUCUGAUUAGCCAGUUGGCAGGGUAACGGCCUACCAAAGCGACGAUCAGUAGCCGAUCUGAGAGGAUGUACGGCCACAUUGGGACUGAGACACGGCCCAGACUCCUACGGGAGGCAGCAGUGGGGAAUAUUGCACAAUGGAGGAAACUCUGAUGCAGCGACGCCGCGUGAGUGAAGAAGUAUUUCGGUAUGUAAAGCUCUAUCAGCAGGGAAGAAAAUGACGGUACCUGACUAAGAAGCACCGGCUAAAUACGUG
RNAcentral lists this ribosomal RNA (462 nucleotides) under uncultured bacterium. RNAcentral describes it as "partial 16S ribosomal RNA". It matches the Rfam family "Bacterial small subunit ribosomal RNA", at positions 28 to 507 of the family's 1533-position model. The record is from RNAcentral.